AUGCAAGCCGAGCGGUAUUGUUUCUUCGGAAAUGAGAGAGCGGCGUACGGGUGCGGAACACGUGUGCAACCUGCCUUUAUCUGGGGGAUAGCCUUUCGAAAGGAAGAUUAAUACCCCAUAAUAUUUUUGAUGGCAUCAUUAGAAAUUGAAAACUCCGGUGGAUAGAGAUGGGCACGCGCAAGAUUAGAUAGUUGGUGAGGUAACGGCUCACCAAGUCUACGAUCUUUAGGGGGCCUGAGAGGGUGAUCCCCCACACUGGUACUGAGACACGGACCAGACUCCUACGGGAGGCAGCAGUGAGGAAUAUUGGACAAUGGGUGAGAGCCUGAUCCAGCCAUCCCGCGUGAAGGACGACGGCCCUAUGGGUUGUAAACUUCUUUUGUAUAGGGAUAAACCUACUCUCGUGAGAGUAGCUGAAGGUACUAUACGAAUAAGCACCGGCUAACUCCGUGCCAGCAGCCGCGGUAAUACGGAGGGUGCAAGCGUUAUCCGGAUUUAUUGGGUUUAAAGGGUCCGUAGGCGGAUCUGUAAGUCAGUGGUGAAAUCUCACAGCUUAACUGUGAAACUGCCAUUGAUACUGCAGGUCUUGAGUGUUGUUGAAGUAGCUGGAAUAAGUAGUGUAGCGGUGAAAUGCAUAGAUAUUACUUAGAACACCAAUUGCGAAGGCAGGUUACUAAGCAACAACUGACGCUGAUGGACGAAAGCGUGGGGAGCGAACAGGAUUAGAUACCCUGGUAGUCCACGCCGUAAACGAUGCUAACUCGUUUUUGGAUUUUCGGAUUCAGAGACUAAGCGAAAGUGAUAAGUUAGCCACCUGGGGAGUACGUUCGCAAGAAUGAAACUCAAAGGAAUUGACGGGGGCCCGCACAAGCGGUGGAUUAUGUGGUUUAAUUCGAUGAUACGCGAGGAACCUUACCAAGGCUUAAAUGGGAAAUGACAGGUUUAGAAAUAGACUUUUCUUCGGACAUUUUUCAAGGUGCUGCAUGGUUGUCGUCAGCUCGUGCCGUGAGGUGUUAGGUUAAGUCCUGCAACGAGCGCAACCCCUGUCACUAGUUGCCAUCAUUAAGUUGGGGACUCUAGUGAGACUGCCUACGCAAGUAGAGAGGAAGGUGGGGAUGACGUCAAAUCAUCACGGCCCUUACGCCUUGGGCCACACACGUAAUACAAUGGCCGGUACAGAGGGCAGCUACACAGCGAUGUGAUGCAAAUCUCGAAAGCCGGUCUCAGUUCGGAUUGGAGUCUGCAACUCGACUCUAUGAAGCUGGAAUCGCUAGUAAUCGCGCAUCAGCCAUGGCGCGGUGAAUACGUUCCCGGGCCUUGUACACACCGCCCGUCAAGC
This 1339-nucleotide ribosomal RNA is filed under the name Chryseobacterium viscerum. Its description in RNAcentral is "bacterial SSU rRNA". It matches the Rfam family "Bacterial small subunit ribosomal RNA", at positions 55 to 1402 of the family's 1533-position model. Lineage: Bacteria; Pseudomonadati; Bacteroidota; Flavobacteriia; Flavobacteriales; Weeksellaceae. The record is from RNAcentral.